UACGAAGGGGGCUAGCGUUGUUCGGAAUUACUGGGCGUAAAGCGCGCGCAGGCGGCUAUCCAAGUCAGUGGGGAAAGCCCGGAGCUCAACUCCGGAACUGCCAUUGAAACUGUUUAGCUUGAGGACGAGAGAGGUGAGUGGAAUUCCCAGUGUAGAGGUGAAAUUCGUAGAUAUUGGGAAGAACACCGGUGGCGAAGGCGGCUCACUGGCUCGUAUCUGACGCUCAGGCGCGACAGCGUGGGGAUCAAACAGG
Molecule: ribosomal RNA, 253 nt
Filed under: uncultured bacterium
Lineage: Bacteria
Description: partial 16S ribosomal RNA
Rfam family: Bacterial small subunit ribosomal RNA
Source: RNAcentral